ACGAACGCUGGCGGCGUGCCUAAUACCUGCAAGUAGAACGCUGAAGAGAGGAGCUUCCUCUUCUUGGAUGAGUUGCGAACGGGUGAGUAACGCGUAGGUAACCUGCCUUGUAGCGGGGGAUAACUAUUGGAAACGAUAGCUAAUACCGCAUAACAAUGGAUGACACAUGUCAUUUAUUUGAAAGGGGCAAUUGCUCCACUACAAGAUGGACCUGCGUUGUAUUAGCUAGUAGGUGAGGUAAUGGCUCACCUAGGCGACGAUACAUAGCCGACCUGAGAGGGUGAUCGGCCACACUGGGACUGAGACACGGCCCAGACUCCUACGGGAGGCAGCAGUAGGGAAUCUUCGGCAAUGGGGGCAACCCUGACCGAGCAACGCCGCGUGAGUGAAGAAGGUUUUCGGAUCGUAAAGCUCUGUUGUAAGUCAAGAACGGGUGUGAGAGUGGAAAGUUCACACUGUGACGGUAGCUUACCAGAAAGGGACGGCUAACUACGUG
RNAcentral lists this ribosomal RNA (496 nucleotides) under uncultured bacterium. RNAcentral describes it as "partial 16S ribosomal RNA". It matches the Rfam family "Bacterial small subunit ribosomal RNA", at positions 29 to 507 of the family's 1533-position model. The record is from RNAcentral.